RNAcentral lists this long non-coding RNA (695 nucleotides) under Fukomys damarensis (Damara mole-rat). Its description in RNAcentral is "lncRNA (ENSFDAG00000024368.1)". The record is from RNAcentral. Lineage: Eukaryota; Metazoa; Chordata; Mammalia; Rodentia; Bathyergidae.
GGUCUCACUAUGUAGUUGAGACUGACCUAGAACUCACUAUGUAGCCCAGGCUGGACUUGAACUCACAGUGAUUCUUCUGCCUCAGCCUCCCGAGUGCUGGGAUUACAAGCAUGUGCUACCAUGCCCGGCCCAACACUAAUUUCAAUAAGUGGAAUAUUGGCAGCCUCUCCAGAAGUACUCCCAAGGAUCCGUCCCAGUCAUAGCACAGCCCUGCCUCCAGAAUACUUGAUCCUGAUGUGCACAGAAGAAGAAUAAGAAAGAGUGGGAGUGGAGAGAGAAAUGGAUACAAAAAUGAAAGAAAAACAAACAGAAGCAGAACUUUUGCAUAUGUAAAGGAGUUCAAGAAGUGGAAAGAGUAAGGAGGCAUGGGAGGGAUAGGGCACAAAAAAGGAAUUAAGAGGUGUUGUUUACAUGUGAUAACUCCCUAUAAUGAAUGUAAUCAUUACAUACUGCAAACAUAUACUAAUAAAAGUUAACCAAAAAUAAAAUGAAAUUCAGAAGCAGAUUAAAAAAGAAACACAAUGGGUCCAAUGAGAAAGGUCAAGAUGAAUCCUUUUUGCAAGAAACUGGCCCAGAGGUGUGCAUAUGAAUCAGUCCUGAUGGAGACACAAGGGGAUGUCUGCUAGGAGAUUUCUGGAAGACAUUCCUUUUUAAUUAAAAAAAUAAUUUUGAACCAAUAAGCAUAUACAGGGUCC